Molecule: ribosomal RNA, 864 nt
Filed under: uncultured archaeon
Lineage: Archaea
Description: bacterial SSU rRNA
Rfam family: Archaeal small subunit ribosomal RNA
Source: RNAcentral
UUCUGGUUGAUCCCGCCGGACCUGACUGCUAUCGGAUUGAUACUAAGCCAUGCGAGUCAUUGUAGCAAUACAAGGCAGACGGCUCAGUAACGCGUAGUCAAUCUACCCUAUGGACGGGAAUAACCUCGGGAAACUGAGAAUAAUGCCCGAUAGAACAUUAUACCUGGAACGGUUUAUGUUUCGAAUGAUUUAUCGCCGUAGGAUGGGACUGCGGCCCAUCAGUUUGUUGGUGAGGUAAUGGCCCACCAAGACUAUUACAGGUACGGGCUCUGAGAGGAGUAGCCCGGAGAUGGGUACUGAGACACGGACCCAGGCCCUAUGGGGCGCAGCAGGCGAGAAAACUUUGCAAUGUGCGAAAGCACGACAAGGUUAAUCCGAGUGGUUUCUGCUAAAGAAACCUUUUGCUAGUCCUAGAAACACUAGUGAAUAAGGGGUGGGCAAGUUCUGGUGUCAGCCGCCGCGGUAAAACCAGCACCUCAAGUGGUCAGGAUGAUUAUUGGGCCUAAAGCAUCCGUAGCUCGUUUUGUAAGUUUUCGGUUAAAUCCAUACGCUUAACGUAUGGGCUGCCGGGAAUACUGCAUAACUAGGAAGUGGGAGAGGUAGACGGUACUCGGUAGGAAGGGGUAAAAUCCUUUGAUCUAUUGAUGACCACCUGUGGCGAAGGCGGUCUACCAGAACACGUUCGACGGUGAGGGAUGAAAGCUGGGGGAGCAAACCGGAUUAGAUACCCGGGUAGUCCCAGCUGUAAACUAUGCAAACUCAGUGAUGCAUUGGCUUGUGGCCAAUGCAGUGCUGCAGGGAAGCCGUUAAGUUUGCCGCCUGGGAAGUACGUACGCAAGUAUGAAACUUAAAGGAAUUGGCGGG